Molecule: ribosomal RNA, 497 nt
Filed under: uncultured bacterium
Lineage: Bacteria
Description: partial 16S ribosomal RNA
Rfam family: Bacterial small subunit ribosomal RNA
Source: RNAcentral
GAUGAACGCUGGCGGCGUGCCUAAUACAUGCAAGUCGAGCGAACAGACGAGGAGCUUGCUCCACUGACGUUAGCGGCGGACGGGUGAGUAACACGUGGAUAACCUAGCUAUAAGACUGGGAUAACUUCGGGAAACCGGAGCUACUACCGGAUAAUAUAUUGAACCGCAUGGUUCAAUAGUUAUAGCCGGUUUUGCUGUCACUUCUAGAUGGCUCCGCGCCGCAUUAGCUAGUUGGUAAGGUAACGGCUUACCAAGGCGACUAUGCGUAGCCGACCUGGGAGGGUGAUCGGCCACACGGGAACGGAGACAGGGUCCAGACUCCUACGGGAGGCAGCAGUAGGGAAUCGUCCGCAAUGGUGGAAAGCCUGACGGAGCAACGCCGCGUGAGAGAUGAAGGUCUUCGGAUCGUAAAACUCUGUUAUUAGGUAAGAACAAAUGUGUAAGUAACUAUGCACGUCUUGACGGUACCUAAUCAGAAAGCCACGGCUAACUACGUG